GGAGAGGUGGCCGAGAGGCUUAAGGCGGCGGUUUGCUAAACCGCUAUACGGUUUAAUAUCGUAUCAAGGGUUCGAAUCCCUUUCUCUCCACCA
This 93-nucleotide transfer RNA is filed under the name Orientia tsutsugamushi str. TA716. RNAcentral describes it as "tRNA-Ser". It matches the Rfam family "tRNA". From Rfam's summary of the family: Transfer RNA (tRNA) molecules are approximately 80 nucleotides in length. Their secondary structure includes four short double-helical elements and three loops (D, anti-codon, and T loops). Lineage: Bacteria; Pseudomonadati; Pseudomonadota; Alphaproteobacteria; Rickettsiales; Rickettsiaceae. The record is from RNAcentral.